GCCAGGGCAUGGUGGUGCAUGCCUGUAGUCCCAGCUACUCGGGAGGCUGAGGCAGGAGGAUCACUUGAGCCCAGGAGGUUGAGGCUGCAGUGAGCUGUGACUGCACCACUGCACUGCAGCCUGGGCAACAGAGUGAGACCCUGUCUCAA
Molecule: signal recognition particle RNA, 149 nt
Filed under: Gorilla gorilla gorilla (western lowland gorilla)
Lineage: Eukaryota; Metazoa; Chordata; Mammalia; Primates; Hominidae
Description: Metazoan signal recognition particle RNA
Rfam family: Metazoan signal recognition particle RNA
About the family: The signal recognition particle (SRP) is a universally conserved ribonucleoprotein. It is involved in the co-translational targeting of proteins to membranes. The eukaryotic SRP consists of a 300-nucleotide 7S RNA and six proteins: SRPs 72, 68, 54, 19, 14, and 9.
Source: Rfam by way of RNAcentral